Molecule: ribosomal RNA, 287 nt
Filed under: Rhodospirillales bacterium
Lineage: Bacteria; Pseudomonadati; Pseudomonadota; Alphaproteobacteria; Rhodospirillales
Description: partial 23S ribosomal RNA
Rfam family: Bacterial large subunit ribosomal RNA
Source: RNAcentral
CUUGAGGGGAGCUGCUCCUAGUACGAGAGGACCGGAGUGGACGCACCUCUGGUGUUCCGGUUGUCACGCCAGUGGCACUGCCGGGUAGCUAUGUGCGGACGGGAUAACCGCUGAAAGCAUCUAAGCGGGAAGCCCACCCCAAGAUGAGGCCUCCCUGGACCCUUGAGGUCCCUGAAGGGCCCUGGAAGACUACCAGGUUGAUAGGCCGGGUGUGGAAGCCCAGCAAUGGGUGAAGCUAACCGGUACUAAUUGCCCGUGAGGCUUGGCCAUAUAACACCCAACCCGUU